GAGGUCAGUAAGGGGCUUUGCUAGGGCACUAUAAUUGGGCACAAAUUUACGGUAAUAACCGGCGGCCCCUAAAAAAGCUAAAACCUGGGUUUUCGUGCGAGGGGUCGGCUACUUAGCUACGGCUUCUAUCUUAGCAGGUUCUGGUUUUGCUGCCCACUGCCUACCCUGUGGCCCAAGUACUGCACUUCAGCCAUCCCUACAUGGCACUUGCUGGGUUUUAACGUGAG
This is a non-coding RNA of Pelobates cultripes (western spadefoot toad), 227 nucleotides long. The record is from the annotation of a GenBank genome assembly. NCBI's taxonomy places the organism in Eukaryota, Metazoa, Chordata, Amphibia, Anura, Pelobatidae.